GGGUUUCUUGCAUUUUUUUUUUUCCCCCCUCAGAGUUCAGUCCUUUCCCCCCCCCCCCCGCCCUUUAGUUUCGCAGUCACGGUGAACGGUUGCUGUGUUUUAGGACCCAAUGAUGAAAUUCACCUGAGACCACAUAGCCAGAGAAGGCCAAACUGAGUUUUGAAUCUAGGCAAUCUUGACCCCAGAGCCUUCCGGCCUAAAGCGUUUGACUCUGUGAUGUCCUCCCCUAAUCCAUGAUGGCCUCAGAGAAACUCCAUUUUGAAUUAAUUCUCCAGAGUUUUAUGAGGCUUCCUCAGAAGACAAGAUGAAGACAUCUUGCUGUGCAUCAGAAUUAAACAGUAACUACUCGAAGAGGAUCUCUCGGCCUGCUUGUGGAGAGGAAGAGGAGAAAGUGAGAGAGGGAAAACAAGUGAGAAUGAGAGAUGGAGACAGGUGAGUUCUGAGAGAGAAAGCCACAAGCAGAGGGCACAAGUGUUGCUCUCUCCAGAAGCUCUGAGGGGAAAUGACUGCUGGUGCAUCUGGGGAAGGGACCACAGGCUUCUGAGCAAGCAUCCCCGUGCUCCAAAGGUGUAAUGGAAACAGUAGAGAGCCACCAGCCCUGCAGGCGAUGUACAGAUAAGAACGAUGGAUAUCACAGUGGCAACGUGUGGGGACAACCGGAAGUUGCCUCCCUGCUCUCCCACCUCCCCACCCGAGGUCUUGGAAAUUCGGAGUAUCCAAGAACUCUGGCACCUACCCGGAUGGGAUGGGGGAGAAGCCCAGGAAAGACAGACAAAGGUUGUCAGGACUACUGCACAUGCAUGUGUUGGUGGCCAACACAAGAGUACCUGGCUGAGGGGUGCGGGUGCAGGCUGGGUGAAACCUAUGUGUUUCCUGUGCCCCAAGCUCUGUACCUAGAGGAAGAGGCUUUUUGUGACUUGCUCGCCUAAGGUGUGUUUUGUGAUUCUACUACCUGGCAGAGGUGUGUUUUGGAAACUGAGUGUUAGUGGAGCCCUGAAAGUUGACUUCCACCAACCCAGAGUCAGAAAUUAAUUAAUUCUAGAGAGUUCUAUUCUUCCACACCUGAACUGUGGAUGGAAUCCAUAGCCACUACACGUGUGCCAGGCCUACCUGAUGGAAGGCUGAGCGAAUCAAAUGAGGUAAUAUAUGUGAAGAAAGUGUUUGAAAACUGGUGACAUGCACACAUGCUUGAGGCAUUAUUAUCAGCAGUUUUGUGCUUCGGGGCCAGAACACUUCUUUUUGUGUAUGAUCCAUAUAAAACAUUAAAUGUCUCUUGGAUGCACUUUACUUGGCAGUGAGAAGGGCUAAGCCUACAAAACUGCAUGUUCACUUUACUCAUGUCAUUGCAUUUGGCUUGUGGAAUGGUCGUUCUAGGUCCUUAGAUCAUUUGUUUGUUUAACAAAGGCAAUACAUGUUCUGUGUACUAUUAAAAAAAAUUGCUGAUUGUGACACUAAAAUUAAAACUAUA
This is a long non-coding RNA of Balaenoptera ricei (Rice's whale), 1468 nucleotides long. RefSeq lists it as uncharacterized. Lineage: Eukaryota; Metazoa; Chordata; Mammalia; Artiodactyla; Balaenopteridae. The transcript has 5 exons. The record is from RefSeq and is a predicted model, not a curated record.